UACGAAGGGGGCUAGCGUUGCUCGGAAUCACUGGGCGUAAAGGGCGCGUAGGCGGCGUUUUAAGUCGGGGGUGAAAGCCUGUGGCUCAACCACAGAAUGGCCUUCGAUACUGGGACGCUUGAGUAUGGUAGAGGUUGGUGGAACUGCGAGUGUAGAGGUGAAAUUCGUAGAUAUUCGCAAGAACACCGGUGGCGAAGGCGGCCAACUGGACCAUUACUGACGCUGAGGCGCGAAGGCGUGGGGAGCAAACGGGAUUAGAU
RNAcentral lists this ribosomal RNA (260 nucleotides) under uncultured Hyphomicrobiales bacterium. RNAcentral describes it as "uncultured Rhizobiales bacterium partial 16S ribosomal RNA". It matches the Rfam family "Bacterial small subunit ribosomal RNA", at positions 524 to 783 of the family's 1533-position model. The record is from RNAcentral. Lineage: Bacteria; Pseudomonadati; Pseudomonadota; Alphaproteobacteria; Hyphomicrobiales.